GAUGAACGCUGGCGGCGUGCUUAACACAUGCAAGUCGAACGGAGAAGCCGGACCUUGAUCUGUCGGGUCAGUGGCAAAGGGGUGAGACACACGUGAGCACUCCGCCCCUGACCCUGGGAUAACCGCUGGAAACGGCGUCUUAUCCUGGAUGUGUGACGUUACGGCAUGGUGUUGGUAUGGAAUGAUUUUUCGGUUGGGGAUGGCCUCCUGGCCGCUCAUCUUGUGGGUGAGGUACUGGCUAACCAGGGAGUGGACGGGUGGCCGGCCGGGGAGGGUGACAGGCCACACGGGGACUGAGACACGGCCAAGACUCCUACGGGAGGAAGCAGUGGGAAAUAUUGCACAAUGGGCGAAGGCCUGAGGAAGCAAGGCGGGUGGGGGGAGAACGCCCUUCGGUUGUAAAACCUCUUCGAGCAGGAAGGAACCUAUAGUGACGGUACCUGGAUAAGAAGCACCGGCUAACUACGUG
RNAcentral lists this ribosomal RNA (469 nucleotides) under uncultured bacterium. RNAcentral describes it as "partial 16S ribosomal RNA". It matches the Rfam family "Bacterial small subunit ribosomal RNA", at positions 28 to 507 of the family's 1533-position model. The record is from RNAcentral.